CCUACGGGGGGCAGCAGUGAGGAAUAUUGGUCAAUGGACGAGAGUCUGAACCAGCCAAGUAGCGUGAAGGAUGACUGCCCUAUGGGUUGUAAACUUCUUUUAUAUGGGAAUAAAACGUUCCACGUGUGGGAUUUUGUAUGUACCAUAUGAAUAAGGAUCGGCUAACUCCGUGCCAGCAGCCGCGGUAAUACGGAGGAUCCGAGCGUUAUCCGGAUUUAUUGGGUUUAAAGGGAGCGUAGGUGGAUUGUUAAGUCAGUUGUGAAAGUUUGCGGCUCAACCGUAAAAUUGCAGUUGAAACUGGCAGUCUUGAGUACAGUAGAGGUGGGCGGAAUGCGUGGUGUAGCGGUGAAAUGUUUAGAUAUCACGAAGAACUCCGAUUGCGAAGGCAGUUCACUGGACUGCAACUGACACUGAGGCUCGAAAGUGUGGGUAUCAAACAGGAUUAGAUACCCUUGUAGUC
RNAcentral lists this ribosomal RNA (460 nucleotides) under uncultured bacterium. RNAcentral describes it as "partial 16S ribosomal RNA". It matches the Rfam family "Bacterial small subunit ribosomal RNA", at positions 338 to 795 of the family's 1533-position model. The record is from RNAcentral.